CGCGGGGUGGAGCAGUUUGGUAGCUCGUCGGGCUCAUAACCCGAAGGUCACAGGUUCAAAUCCUGUCCCCGCAACCA
This 77-nucleotide transfer RNA is filed under the name Castellaniella caeni. RNAcentral describes it as "tRNA-Met(cat)". It matches the Rfam family "tRNA". From Rfam's summary of the family: Transfer RNA (tRNA) molecules are approximately 80 nucleotides in length. The record is from RNAcentral. Lineage: Bacteria; Pseudomonadati; Pseudomonadota; Betaproteobacteria; Burkholderiales; Alcaligenaceae. RNAcentral also lists the same sequence under 3 other names.